Molecule: ribosomal RNA, 1330 nt
Filed under: Staphylococcus pseudintermedius
Lineage: Bacteria; Bacillati; Bacillota; Bacilli; Caryophanales; Staphylococcaceae
Description: partial 23S ribosomal RNA
Rfam family: Bacterial large subunit ribosomal RNA
Source: RNAcentral
CGAAAACGAAUUCUCUCUUGAGUGGAUCCUGAGUACGACGGAGCACGUGAAAUUCCGUCGGAAUCUGGGAGGACCAUCUCCUAAGGCUAAAUACUCUCUAGUGACCGAUAGUGAACCAGUACCGUGAGGGAAAGGUGAAAAGUACCCCGGAAGGGGAGUGAAAGAGAACUUGAAACCGUGUGCUUACAAGUAGUCAGAGCCCGUUAAUGGGUGAUGGCGUGCCUUUUGUAGAAUGAACCGGCGAGUUACGAUCUGAUGCAAGGUUAAGCAGAAAAUGUGGAGCCGUAGCGAAAGCGAGUCUGAAUAGGGCGAAUGAGUAUUUGGUCGUAGACCCGAAACCAGGUGAUCUACCCUUGGUCAGGUUGAAGUUCAGGUAACACUGAAUGGAGGACCGAACCGACUUACGUUGAAAAGUGAGCGGAUGAACUGAGGGUAGCGGAGAAAUUCCAAUCGAACUUGGAGAUAGCUGGUUCUCUCCGAAAUAGCUUUAGGGCUAGCCUCAAGUGAUGAUUAUUGGAGGUAGAGCACUGUUUGGACGAGGGGCCCCUCUCGGGUUACCGAAUUCAGACAAACUCCGAAUGCCAAAUAAUUUAACUUGGGAGUCAGAAUGUGGGUGAUAAGGUCCAUAUUCGAAAGGGAAACAGCCCAGACCACCAGCUAAGGUCCCAAAAUAUAUGUUAAGUGGAAAAGGAUGUGGCGUUGCCCAGACAACUAGGAUGUUGGCUUAGAAGCAGCCAUCAUUUAAAGAGUGCGUAAUAGCUCACUAGUCGAGUGACACUGCGCCGAAAAUGUACCGGGGCUAAACAUAUUACCGAAGCUGUGGAUUGUCCUUUGGACAAUGGUAGGAGAGCGUUCUAAGGGCGUUGAAGCAUGAUCGCAAGGACAUGUGGAGCGCUUAGAAGUGAGAAUGCCGGUGUGAGUAGCGAAAGACGGGUGAGAAUCCCGUCCACCGAUUGACUAAGGUUUCCAGAGGAAGGCUCGUCCGCUCUGGGUUAGUCGGGUCCUAAGCUGAGGCCGACAGGCGUAGGCGAUGGAUAACAGGUUGAUAUUCCUGUACCACCAUUAUUCGUUUUAAGCGAUGGGGGGACGCAGUAGGAUAGGCGAAGCGUGCUGUUGGAGUGCACGUCCAAGCAGUGAGAUUGAGUGUUAGGCAAAUCCGGCACUCUUAAGAUUGAGCUGUGAUGGGGAGAGGAACUUGUUCCUCGAGUCGUUGAUUUCACACUGCCGAGAAAAGCCUCUAGCUAGAAUAACGGUGCCCGUACCGCAAACCGACACAGGUAGUCAAGAUGAGAAUUCUAAGGUGAGCGAGCGAACUCUCGUUAAGGAACUC